AAUUAAACAUGGAAGGAAAACCCCAAAAUCGACUGCAGGAGGUCAGUGCAGAUGAAAUAGGACGCCUAAUCCAAGCUGUUGCCCUUUAUUGUGGGAUUUCCCCGACAAGAAGCAAUUCCACAAAAGGGGCAAAUUCGUAGAAUAGUUGAAGUGCAGGAUGAGAUCCACUAAAGAAUCCCAGUGGGUAGAAACAUGCCGAGUGGGACUUCGAUCUCUACAUGGACAUCCUUCCGGGCGCGUCCUCGCAAACAAACACUUAGGACUCCGGAUACCACCGCCACCAGCUACUUGGCAGCUUAAGCGGAGAUGGAGGACCCGCUGGCUUCUAAAGGGAGGGAGAAAAUAGGGCGCCCGCUAAGGAACAGUUGGAGAAGCCAUAGUCAGCCCCUGCCAGGAUGCUGGGCGACUUCCUGCAGCAUCAGCGGAUCAACCACGUUCUUCCACUUCCUCAAGGCCCAAUAUGCCCAUUGGGACUCGGAGCUGGACUGCGGUGGCGCGGAAAGACUGCGAAGCAUCCGUAGGACGAGAAGGAAGCUUUAAGCUACUAAUUUACAAAAAUAAAAACAUUCUUUGAACGUUC
Molecule: non-coding RNA, 580 nt
Organism: Drosophila suzukii
Lineage: Eukaryota; Metazoa; Arthropoda; Insecta; Diptera; Drosophilidae
Source: RefSeq, a predicted model, not a curated record